AAACGACACGAAAAGUUGCCUACUCCCCACUAAUUCUGAAAUGAUGUAUUAUUUUUUAAAAUAUUUUACAACAGCGAAAGUACUAAGAAGGUUCCUCGUUAGCUGCUGAUGGAUGCUGCUGACCGUCCAACCCAGUCCAGCGACGGCUACAAUAACCUCACGAAGCGGCACCUUUCGACCACCGGGCGAGAGAUAGCGAGACUGAGAGAUAGGGGGAGGAGAGAGAGAGAAGGGUAGAGAGAGAGAGAGAGUGAGGAUGCAGGGCGCAGCCUGGGGUGCGCCCGCGGCGGCGGCGGGGGGAUUGGGGAUGAUGGGGUCAACGUUGGGGACGGUGAUGUUCGUGUGGAUGGCGAUCGGGCAGUUCUUCCCCCACUUGUCGCACCUCCAUCUGCGCAGAUGGAGGGAGAAGAUGGUCGGCUACGUCUACCCCUACGUGCAAAUCUCCUUCCCUGAAUUCGUGGGGGAGCGUCUCAGGCGCAGCGAGGCCUUCACCGCCAUCGAAAUCUACCUCUCCACCAACUGCGGCGGCGCCGCCAGGCGCCUCCGUGCGGAGCUCGGCAAGGACAGCUCCCAGCUGGUCCUCAGCAUGGACGAGCACCAAGAAGUAGUCGACGUCUUCGAAGGCAUCUCCUUCUGGUGGAGCUCCUCCGUCUCCACCGCCAAGUCCCCGCAGUUUUCCUUUUACCCAUCGCAGGAGGAGAAGCGCUCAUUCCGUCUGACCUUCCACCGCGACCACCGCGACCUGGUCAACGGCCCCUAUCUCGCCGCCAUCAUGGCGAAGGGGAAGGAGAUCUUGGCGCGCCGCCGCCAGCGGAAGCUCUUCACCAACAGCCCCACGAGAGACUCCCACUACCGCCAACGCCUGUGGAGCCACGUCCCUUUCGAUCACCCGGCAACCUUCGACACCAUCGCCAUGGAUCCCCAGAAGAAGGAGGAGCUCAUUCAGGACCUGCUCAACUUCCGCGAGAGCAAGGACUAUUACCGGAAGGUGGGCAAGGCCUGGAAGAGAGGGUACCUUCUUUACGGCCCCCCGGGGACCGGCAAGUCCACCAUGAUCGCCGCCAUGGCGAACCUCUUGGAGUACGACGUGUACGACCUGGAGCUCACCGCCGUGAAUGACAACUCCUCCCUCCGAAGGCUUCUUAUCGAGACCAGCAGCAAGUCCAUCAUCGUCAUCGAGGACAUCGACUGCUCUCUGGAUCUCACUGGGAGCCGGCAGNNNNNNNNNNNNNNNNNNNNGCCAUGGCGGCGCCGCCGAAGCCGACGCGUGCUUGGACGUGCUCGUUGGGGCACUGGAAGACUCCAAGGCCAAGGCCGCCGCCGCGAAGGCGGCGGAGGAGGCCACCAAGGCGGUGGUGGAGAUCUCGCCGGAGCCGGAUGAGACGACGGAGGGGGUCGCUGAGGCGGCUGCGGAGGUCCCGCCGGAGCCGGAGAAGCCGACGGAGAAGGGUAAGCCCGGUGAGGCUACACCAUCAACACAUGGGCCCAAUUCGCCCUCGGAGGUCUCGCGGAUGCCAGAGAGGAGGGCGGAGGAGGUCACUGAGGCGGUGGCAGAGGUCCCAGCGGAGACGGAGAAGGCGGCGGAGUGAGGAAUCCGUCAAACCGGGCAGUGUGAACGCGGAGACCACUUUUCUCCUUGGAACAGAAAAAAUAAAAGACUCGUCCUUUCCACGUUCGUGGGUAAAAUAAUAGAAAAACCCUAUUUCUCUUUCAUUUUGACCUUUUGGCACACAGAGACGAAUGGCCCUAAGAAGACUUCCCUCUUUUCUCAGCCGCUCGUCAUACGAGUCAACGGUGUGUGACGACGACCUGGGGCACAAGCUUUAUGGGCUAUUGAGCCGUUCACAUAUCUGAGCCCAGUCCAAAUUACAUUCUGCUCGGUCCAGAGCCGUCAAAAUAUGAAUCC
RNAcentral lists this long non-coding RNA (1906 nucleotides) under Spirodela polyrhiza (greater duckweed). RNAcentral's name for it is "long non-coding RNA (SPOL_LNC002351)". Lineage: Eukaryota; Viridiplantae; Streptophyta; Magnoliopsida; Alismatales; Araceae. The record is from RNAcentral.